AACGAACGCUGGCGGCAGGCCUAAUACAUGCAAGUCGAACGCGAAAGGGACUUCGGUCCUGAGUAAAGUGGCGCACGGGUGAGUAACGCGUGGGAAUCUACCCAGUAGUACGGAAUAUGCGCGGGAAACUGCGUGCAAUACCGUAUACGCCCUCCGGGGGAAAGAUUUAUUGCUAUUGGAUGAGCCCGCGUGACAUUAGCUAGUUGGUAAGGUAACGGCUUACCAAGGCGACGAUGUUUAGCUGGUCUGAGAGGAUGACCAGCCACACUGGGACUGAGACACGGUCCAGACUCCUACGGGGGGCAGCAGUAGUGAAUAUUGGGCAAUGGGCGAAAGCCUGACCCAGCCAGGCCGCGUGAGUGAUGAAGGCCUUAGGAUUGUAAAGCUCUUUCGGUGGUGACGAUAAUGACGGCAACCACAGAAGAAGCCCCGGCUAACUUCGUGCCAGCAGCCGCCGUAA
RNAcentral lists this ribosomal RNA (460 nucleotides) under uncultured bacterium. Its description in RNAcentral is "partial 16S ribosomal RNA". It matches the Rfam family "Bacterial small subunit ribosomal RNA", at positions 29 to 523 of the family's 1533-position model. The record is from RNAcentral.